Molecule: transfer-messenger RNA, 398 nt
Filed under: Flavobacteriales
Lineage: Bacteria; Pseudomonadati; Bacteroidota; Flavobacteriia
Also listed under: 1 other name
Description: PHOS-HE28 sp017998165 Standard tmRNA
Rfam family: transfer-messenger RNA
About the family: Bacterial tmRNA, also known as 10Sa RNA or SsrA, is named for its dual tRNA and mRNA-like properties.
Source: RNAcentral
GGGGCCGACCUGGUUUCGACAGCGGCUACGUAGUGCGUGCAAGCAUGCAGAGCGGUGGGGAACGGCUCUUCAAAACGAUCUCCACGCCUUAACCGGCGAAUACAGCUACGCUCUCGCUGCCUAAUCGCCUCAGGCGAUGAAGCUUUAUCCGCGCGAAUAACAGUAACGCGGACGAGUACCUCUCGGAACGACCCGUCGUCCACGUUCCGGAAUCGGGGUAUCAGCUUGGAAGACUGGUCAACGCGGUGGUCCGGAGCGUUGAUGAGACAACAGGACCUAAGUCCUCGCUGGGGUGCCUCUUCUCAGGCGGGGAUCGAAAAUGAACAAGAAGGCUAAGCAUGUAGAAAGCCCGUGUUACGGUCGUUUGGACGAGGGUUCGAAUCCCUCCGGCUCCACAA